This 326-nucleotide unclassified non-coding RNA is filed under the name uncultured fungus. RNAcentral's name for it is "partial contains small subunit ribosomal RNA, internal transcribed spacer 1, and 5.8S ribosomal RNA". The stretch from base 1 to 73 matches the Rfam family "Eukaryotic small subunit ribosomal RNA", at positions 1759 to 1831 of the family's 1831-position model. Lineage: Eukaryota; Fungi. The record is from RNAcentral.
GCAAACUUGGUCAUUUAGAGGAAGUAAAAGUCGUAACAAGGUUUCCGUAGGUGAACCUGCGGAAGGAUCAUUAAUGGGUUUUUAAUGCUUGUGAAGGGCUGUAGCUGGCCUCUCUGGCACGUGCACGCCUGGAUCAUGCGCAAUCCACCUCUCUCGCACCUGUGCACAACCGUAGCUCAUGGGUGGGGAUGCAAAACAACCUGCCCUACGCUAUGCUUUUCACUACGUACACACAACUUGCCAAUAAAGUCUUUUUUUGCGAGUUUUAUAUAAACACAACUUUCAGCAACGGAUCUCUUGGCUCUCGCAUCGAUGAAGAACGCAGC